This 290-nucleotide ribosomal RNA is filed under the name uncultured Streptococcus sp. RNAcentral's name for it is "partial 16S ribosomal RNA". It matches the Rfam family "Bacterial small subunit ribosomal RNA", at positions 1090 to 1382 of the family's 1533-position model. The record is from RNAcentral. Lineage: Bacteria; Bacillati; Bacillota; Bacilli; Lactobacillales; Streptococcaceae.
CAACGAGCGCAACCCCUACUUGUUAGUUGCCAUCAUUCAGUUGGGCACUCUAGCGAGGCGUGCCGGUAAUAAACCGGAGGAAGUGGGAUGACGUCAAAUCAUCAUGCCCUUAUGACCUGGGCUACACACGUGCUACAAUGGUUGGUACAACGAGUUGCGAGUCGGUGACGGCGAGCUAAUCUCUUAAAGCCAAUCUCAGUUCGGAUUGUAGGCUGCAACUCGCCUACAUGAAGUCGGAAUCGCUAGUAAUCGCGGAUCAGCACGCCGCGGUGAAUACGUUCCCGGGCCUU